GUCUUCUCAAUGAGCUCCUCCCUGUCUACCAGUGACAGGGCUGUGGAUUCGCACGAGAAGAACAUAAACUUCGCACCAUUGUGUUUGUGUCACUUGUUGUCAUGGGGGACACUUCUCCGUGGCUGUGAGACAGAU
RNAcentral lists this small nucleolar RNA (135 nucleotides) under Notamacropus eugenii (tammar wallaby). RNAcentral describes it as "Small nucleolar RNA SNORA75 (ENSMEUG00000017756.1)". It matches the Rfam family "Small nucleolar RNA SNORA75". From Rfam's summary of the family: U23 belongs to the H/ACA class of snoRNAs. snoRNAs bind a number of proteins (including dyskerin, Gar1p and Nop10p in the case of the H/ACA class) to form snoRNP complexes. Lineage: Eukaryota; Metazoa; Chordata; Mammalia; Diprotodontia; Macropodidae. The record is from RNAcentral.